GCUUUCCUGUGGCUCAGUCCGUAGAGCAUUGCACUAGCAACUCAGGGAUCGUGGGUUCAAACCACAAGGGAAGCA
Non-coding RNA from Danionella cerebrum, 75 nucleotides. NCBI's taxonomy places the organism in Eukaryota, Metazoa, Chordata, Actinopteri, Cypriniformes, Danionidae. The record is from the annotation of a GenBank genome assembly.